This 2461-nucleotide long non-coding RNA is filed under the name Cricetulus griseus (Chinese hamster). Its description in RNAcentral is "lncRNA (ENSCGRG00015031998.1)". The record is from RNAcentral. Lineage: Eukaryota; Metazoa; Chordata; Mammalia; Rodentia; Cricetidae.
AAAAAAAAAAAAAAAAAAAAAAGGCCUUAAAAUUAUUAAGAAUUGUAAAAGGGACUUUGACAAAAUUUUUUAUGUUGACUGAGAAAUGAGAAAAAAAUGUAGGAGACUUAAAUAAUAAAGAAAAAAAAGAAAGUCAGAGAAAUGGAGAAAUGAACUAAAAGGUUAUAGAGAGUUAAAGCAAGCAGUAAAAGUUAUAGAGGGUUAAAGCAAGUUGUAAAAGGUCAGAGAAAAGUUGUUAAAGGUCAGAAAAGGUUAUAAGUCAGAGAAAAAUGUAAACUGUGCUAUGGUUUCUCAUGUCUACAAAUAAUAAAUUUUUAAAAAUGGUGAUAUAAGUUAAAAUUUUAACCAUAUUAAGCUAAUUUUGUUUUUAAAAAAAGUCCUGUUUAUUUCUCAAGUAAAUUAUGUAUACUUGUUUUAAAAAAAAUGUCCUAUUUCCUGGCAUAAACUUAAGCAUGUUAAGCAAAGCAAGUUACGGCCAUUUUGUAACUGGUCACAUGACUUGACUGGUCGCCAUUUUGCUAAAGUUAAAAAAAGAAUACUUAAACCGCCAUCUUGACUAAAGGUGACCGCAUGGAAAUUAGAGGUACCAUCUUAGAAACAAGUUUUUCAAUUAAGAUUUAAAAUGUUAAUGCUUCUAUAUAUUACAGAAAGACCUUAAAGGAAUUUAAAUUUCUUUUUAAAACCAGUUUUUAAAUGUUUAUUUUUAUUAAUGUUUGUACUUAAAGAGCUUCAAUUUAGAAUUAUUCUUAAGCAAAGCCUGACAAUGUAAAGUUCUUUUUUUGUGAAAGAUGCUGAUCUAUUCUAAGAUGUUACAGUUCAUGUUUUUAGAAAUUAAGUUUAAGAUGUUGGUAGCACACACCUUUAAGCUCAGGGUGUAGAUGGCACACGCCUUUAAGUUUAGGGCGUUGAUGGCACACGCCUUUAAUCCCAGCAUUCGGGAGGAAGAGGCAGAUGGAUCUUUAUGAGUUCAAGGCCUGCCUGGUCCGGCAGAUAGAAUUCCAGGACAGGCUCCAAAGUCACAGAAAAACCCUGCCUCAAAAAGAAGUUAAGCUACUGUUUAAAAAAUAUAAGGUAGCUCUAUAUAGUUUUAAGUUCAGCUAUAUUACAUUACCUAGCCACCUAUAUGCUUAAUGUGUGCUUAAGGAAAGUAACUAAAACAGACAAACAGACCUCUAAUGCUUCAGAGAUCUUCAGAAUAUGGCAUUUAAAUUGUUAUCUUUAAAGUUUAUAAAGUCAGACAGACUGCCAGAUCCUGACAGUGACCCAAAGUCUCCAAAGAAGAUUGAGGCACCCCAGUUCCUGCACCUGGACCAGUGAGCAAGAUGCUCAGAUGUGAUACCUACCGCCUGCCAGAACCUAGCCGAGACUGUGGACAAAGCUGCUGGACACUGGAAAAUUGAUUAUACCCCUUUGCCUAGACAAAACAAGGUCAGUCUUUUCCAUGUCCCUCUUCCACAGAGAGGAAAAAACUCUCACAGUAUAGGCCUGGCGAAGAUUGCUGGUCUUUGAGACACCUGCCUCCAGCGACAUCUGCGUAUCAGUUGCUGACUACAGGCUGUUCUAAGUAGACUGCGAGCCCUGGACUUGCUGUGGAUGUGAACCAGUCCAGCUGAUGUGGUCACCCCCUGUCUCUGCAACAGUGUCUGCUAACCAGAAGCCCCUGAUGAAUUCCCCAUUGCCUAAAUUCCUUUUUGCUUUUGACUAGCAUUUCAACCUUCUGGGGUCCCUAACUUCGUCCCAAAGUCAGCAGGAAGCAGUUUGGAAAGAAAUUUCGCUGUCCAUUUUCCCUGGUUAAAAUGCUAAGUCAAAAGGAACUCCCUUACAUGGGGAUGCCAAUAUCUAUCACUCCCUGAUGGGGAUGCUAGAGAGACAGCAAUUCCAUGAUUGGAAUUUCCAAAAAAGAAAAUGGGGGAAUGAAGGAACCGGCUUCCCUUUUGGCAGCCAUAACAGCCGAACACGUGCUUGCCAUAAACCUGCCUUGGUCACGUAGAGGUCAGAUGCCUGUCUGUGACAAGGAACCCAUCAGAAGUUAGUCACUAGAAAGUCAGAUGCCUGUCUCGUGACAAGGAGCCAAUCGGAAGUUAGCUGGUGGCGCUAUGCUUUACGACCCUGGGUGUGCUUUACGGACAAGCGCACAGCAAUGACGUAGAGAGCAUAGCAACCACCCUGGGAGGGCCUAUGAGCCAUAACAACCAGUUGACCAAUCAACACAGGGCAAGCCCUCCAAGCCUGGAAGCACACCAAUCCUGAGCCUGUGCGUACCCCUAGACACUCCCCUUACACUGCCCUAUAAGAUCUUUUGGGAGCCCGUUGGAGCCGUCUUUUCUAGCUGUCCGCCAUGACGGGUGGGUGAAAGACCCGAGCUAACAUGGGGUUAGCUCGUUAAAUUACAAUAAAGCCUCGUGCAGUUUGCAGCAAGCUCUCGAAUCCGCCUGGUGAUUGGGGUGACCGCGAACCUGAC